Molecule: long non-coding RNA, 340 nt
Organism: Zophobas morio
Lineage: Eukaryota; Metazoa; Arthropoda; Insecta; Coleoptera; Tenebrionidae
Exons: 3
Source: RefSeq, a predicted model, not a curated record
CAAACAUUACUUCUAUUUUACCUUUUAACAUAAAUAAGAGAUAUUAUGUUUAUAAAAAUCAACAAUCAAAUAAAGAUGCGCGUACUUAUUAUGAAAUUCUUGGAGUCUCGCCAUCGGCGUCUCCUUUCGAAUUAAAACGUGCAUACUUUGAAAAAGCAAAACGGUGCCAUCCAGAUCGAAAUCCAGGAGACAAAACUGCUAGUUUAGAGUUUCAGAAAGUUGCUAAUGCUUACGAAGUUUUAAAAAAUCCAAGUUCUAAAGCAACUUAUGAUAAUUCUCUAAAAAAUAAUUCUUUUUCUGCUGCAUUUAACAAAAAUCGCGCUUCAGAAGAAUUUCAAAA